This 398-nucleotide ribosomal RNA is filed under the name uncultured bacterium. RNAcentral describes it as "bacterial SSU rRNA". It matches the Rfam family "Bacterial small subunit ribosomal RNA", at positions 358 to 773 of the family's 1533-position model. The record is from RNAcentral.
GGAAUUUUGGGCAAUGGGCGAAAGCCUGACCCAGCAACGCCGCGUGAAGGAUGAAGUAUUUCGGUAUGUAAACUUCGAAAGAAUGGGAAGAAUCAAUGACGGUACCAUUUAUAAGCUCCGGCUAACUACGUGCAAGCAGCCGCGGUAAUACGUAGGGAGCCAGCGUUGUUCGGAUUUACUGGGCGUAAAGGGCGCGUAGGCGGCAAAUCAAGUCAGCUGUGAAAUCUCCGAGCUUAACUCGGAACGGUCAGCUGAUACUGUUUUGCUAGAGUGCAGAAGGGGCAAUCGGAAUUCUUGGUGUAGCGGUGAAAUGCGUAGAUAUCAAGAGGAACACCUGAGGUGAAGACGGGUUGCUGGGCUGACACUGACGCUGAGGCGCGAAAGCCAGGGGAGCAAAC